This is a long non-coding RNA of Drosophila ananassae, 3289 nucleotides long. RefSeq lists it as uncharacterized. The transcript is spliced from 4 exons. Lineage: Eukaryota; Metazoa; Arthropoda; Insecta; Diptera; Drosophilidae. The record is from RefSeq and is a predicted model, not a curated record.
UUUGUAAAAGAUGAGCCUAUUUUUUCGCAUAAAUAGAUUGUAGGUAUUAUUAUUAAUAUUAUGAUCCUGACACCUGUGAUCUUGUUAAUUGGAGUUCUAUACACAUUGAAAUACUGCAUGGAUGCGGAACCAAUAAUAAAAACUAUUCUUGGUUUUCUGGCUGUGCCAAUUGCCUGUGUAAUCCUUUUUGUAUUGCGAGUCGAAACUGUACCAGAACGUUGGGCUUCCAUUCAAUGGUUUUGGAAAAUCACAGAUACUCUGCUGCUAACCUUUUACUUCGUGUUUCCUGGUAUAUGGCUGAUCAUACUCUGUAGCUUCUUCUAUGAGUUAGAGAUCAAUAAAGCGGCGAAUGUAAUUUAAAGGACUUCCUUGGAGGACUCUUAAGGCACAAUUCCAUUCAUCAUCGACAUGAUUAGCUGAAAAUUUGUGGAAGAGCCUGUGAUGAAUGAAAACUCAUUGGAAAGUUUGCCUCUGGCAAGCUCCACUAAUAAGACACAUUGUCUAGCCAAAGAGACCGAAAGUGCAUAUAUUCCCAUUUGCAUCUUUGGCUGCAGCGACGGAAGCGCCAGCGAAAAGUAAAAGAUGCCGACGACUAAAAAUCGAAAAGAAAAAAAAAGAGAAUAAAGAUGGGCUGAGGACCUGGGCCGUUGGUCCCUGGUCCCUCGUUCCUGGACCCUUAAGCCUGGCCCUGUUUUGUUUGCCCGGCGCUUCGAGUGUCCCCUAGACGGCGCAGAGAGCACUUGUUUGGAUUUAUAUUUCGGUUUGCUUAGGUCCGAGGACCCGGCUAAAGUGCCAGGCAAUCAAAAACAAAUUAUGAGUGCUACAAUUUGCAGAGGGAAUGCGGAUCGUAAUGGGAUCGAAAUGGGAUAAGGAAUGGGCUCUGGAAUGGGCUCUGCCGAUGGUCGGGGGCAGCCCCUUAUCGCAGGCUUAUCACUGUUUAUGGGGCCAACUAAUGCACUUGGCCUGCAGUCGUUGCCUUUUAACGUUGGCAUUGAACUUUCGCCGAAGGAAUCGGGCCCAGGCCUGGCCCGAAACAAUAGCACACUCCACUGACCCACUUGGCCGGAGAAGAGGCGGCCUAAUCACGGCUAGCGAAUCCUAUAUCAAUAAUUGACUUGAAAGCAAACAAUUUAUGAUGACCUAAGCCCAAACAAAGAGCGAAAAGGGUGCGGUAAUCAGGGGAGGGAGGAAGGGGCCCCCCAACAAACUGGAGAUUGGCCAAAUGGAUAAGGCCAACUCAGCGCCAUGGCCCAAAAGCGAUGACGAAGGAGAUGAUGGAGCCGAUAGCACAAACGAUGAACGAUAGAGCACGUCGACCCACACACAACUAAUGGGGAAAGUCCGGGUGGCGGGGGCCGGGCCGGCGAUGACUGGCAAAGGAUGGAUGAAGUCGCAAAGUCGUUGUUGUGUUGCUGCAAUGGAUGACCUUUGGAGAGCCCCCCGCCGUCAUCCCAAGCUCCCAAGUGAAAACCUCUCGAGAGCACAGCGCCAGGAAAAAAUGGCAAAUUCCAAAUGGAAAAAGCAAAUCAAAUAAAUAUCUUAUGGGUAAACAUUAUUGGCGGGGCCAAAACAAAAACAAAAGGCAAGCCAACUGGGUCAGCAAGUCAAGGACCAGUCAGUCAGUCAGUUAGUCGUUCAAUCUGCCAGACUGUCAGUAUGGCAGCUACCCUCGGGAAUUGGAAGAGCCCGAUUCGGUUCGAUGAAAUUCAGGCAAAAUCAUGGACAGCAGCAAACAAGUGCAUGCAUUCUGGAACUGCAAAUCAACCUAAUGAUGACUCGCUUUUCCGCUGCUGCACUUUCUGCAGCCUGGCUUGGCCCCUUAAAACUGCUUACUGGCUUACUGACAACGCAACUUGUUCUCGAGUUCUCCAUCAUCGGCUUGUAUCUGCGAUGGAGUUGCCGUUUGCUGCCGCUUUUCAGCUGACUCACUUAUGUAAUAGCCAAAUUGGCAUCAACAUAUAUAUUAUAUCCUUUGGAUGGGCUUCAGGACUAGGAUGGGCUGCUAAUAAGAUUACCCCUUAACAAUAUCGGCCAUGAUGGCCGGAAAAUUGCGUAGUCAUAACUAUUAGUACAAGGCUUUAGGAAAUCCCAAAAAUUUAAUCGGUAAAGCACCAAUAAAUAUUAGAAUUUAAGAGGGUAAAGUGGAACAUAAAUUUUCGGGGAAUCGCAGAGUAGCAGCCCAAAGCCAACUGCAGUUUCAAGGAUCUGAACUCAUUAUCUGUUGCCAACUCCACCCAACAAGCCUGACCAGGCGUCUGGCCAAUAUCUUUUGUUAUCCAAGUGCCAAACUGCUAAGUCCACAUUAAUUACGUGUAUCUCAAACAAUAUACGAGAUGCGAUGGCCAAGACACAAGCCCCAAAGGGGCCAACAUGGCUAAUCAGGUCCGUGGCUGCCCGGCAUUGUUCCCUGUAUUCACUGUACCGUUUGCCGGGACUGUCUGACAUCAUUAAGACCACAUAUCCACGUAUCUACGACGGAUCCACUAUCCACUCGACGCAGUGCCAGUGGCCAACUAAUAACCGCCGACGAUGAGAAUGUGAAUGAAGAAGGCGCCUCACAGUGUGAGAAAUUGUCCAUAUGGUUCUGGUUUACCUUCCCUAUAAGUAAUAGUAAUUCUUCUCUUUUUUUUCAGUGUCCUUGGUCGAUGAGACGUCAACGCAUAGCGCCACUUAAGCGAAGACGCUGUGCGUCAAGCAGCGCCACUGAGUCCGGCGGGAGGCAGCCAGGCAGGAUCGGUGGAGAGGGUGAGACCGCAGCCGACGGGCUUUGAGCCUGCGGUCGGUGGAGGGGCAAUGGAAACUCUUGCUGCUUGUAAGCUGUCAAACUCGGAAAUUUGCAAUGACAGCCAACAUUGCCAGAGCGCAGAUAAGCGGCGAAAUGAACGCUGCACAAACUAAAAACUCAUUGUCAGGCGCUGUCUGUUUGCCAGCCGACCAACCGACCAUCCAGGCAGCCAACCAACCGACCGACCAUCGGACCGAUCUAAACCGCUUUGGGGGUGCGUUGCUGCAUAAUAAACUGCUGGCCAGGACCAGGACUCCGCAGCCGGAGACGGACGGGAGGCACACAGGCGGUAUCCAGGAGGUAGCUGGGAACAAUAGGGCGCCAGUCGGGGAGCUGGUGCUUUGGCGGCAAAAGACUGCAAAGAAACAAUAAACACACGAAAAUAAUGUAAUGAGUUGCAGCGAAUGGAGGACAAGUGCAGCUUUGGCUGCCUCGUUGGGGGGCACAGUGGCUCAGUCUACAUUUCUUGAGAAAACAUACAUGAACCUAAUAAAUCAUUUUUGA